Molecule: long non-coding RNA, 2812 nt
Organism: Neofelis nebulosa (Clouded leopard)
Lineage: Eukaryota; Metazoa; Chordata; Mammalia; Carnivora; Felidae
Exons: 4
Source: RefSeq, a predicted model, not a curated record
GAGAGAGCAUGAGUGGGGGAGGAGCAGAGAGAGAGGGAGAUAAAGAAUCUGAAGCAGGCUCCAGGCCCCAAGCUGUCAGCACAGAGCUCGACUUGGGGCUCAAACUCUUGAACUGUUACAUCAUGACCUGAGCUGAAGUCAGACACUUAACCGACUGAGCCACCCAGGCGCCCCCUGAAAUAUCUUUAAUAUAAAGGUCAUUUUAUAAUGAAAUGUACUGGAAUCCCAUACACUGGGCUUGUUCACAAAAUUUGAAAACCAAGCAGAAAGAAAACUACUGAAUGAGGGUGCUAAAAACACCUAGGAUUUAGCACAAAUUUUGGCUCAGAUAUUUUGGAAUGAGUGAAUACUUGAGCAAAUGAAUGAAUUAAUGCCCGAAUUGAUAAAUGAGUGGAUGGAUGAAUAAAUGGUAGGAGAAAGACUGGCAUGAGUGAAUAAAUGCCUGAAUGGAUACAGUUCCUGGCUAGUUAUAUAACAAGACAUCGGAUUCCUUAUUUCAUAGACAAUAAAUUCUAUGAAGUUGAACCCUUUUCUUUUUCACGGUUCCUUUAGCAACAUAAGAAUGAAUGUAGUCACAUCACUUCUUACAGUUUCUGGCUUUUAAUUCUUACGAUCCCCUUACGCUGAGUACAGAAAAUGGUCUGAGGUAAGGAGGCAAGUAUUUUAUGUGGAACUUUGGACAACCUGCUUUUAUUCCUCAGGGACAGUUUUCAAGCUACUCAACCUCGCUGCCCUAAAAUGGGUGGACUGUGUGUGGCCCUUCUAACCCUGACAAUCUGCAUUCAUUCAUUUGUGGCAUAUUUUACUUCCAAGCUUAUCACUGUGACAGAGCACACAUUUUUUGAGAGGACAGCCCCUCCAGUGAACUGCCCAAGACGUUCUUUGGAUAUCCAUGACUUAGUCUGCAUUCCAAAAGGAUGGGGCAGUUUUCUGGAAACAAAAUGGUAGGUGAAAUCUCUGGGAGAGAGUUACAUGGUGUGUCCUCACUGGCACCUUCACUAAGUGAGUAAAUGUUAUCUGAAAUUCUGGCCAAAUUUGAUGAUCUAGGAAAGGCAGUAUGCACAGUGGUUAAGGUUGUUGACUCUGGAGCCAGACUUCUUAGAAUCCCAGCUCUGCCACUUACUUGAGCAAGUUACAUAUAAGUCUCACUGCUCAGUUAUCUUUUUAUUUUUUUAAUGUUUAUUUAUUUUUGAGAGAGAGAGAGAGAGAGAGAGAACGAGCAGGGGAGGGACAGACAGGGAGGGGGACACAGAAUUCGAAGCAGGAUCCAGGCUCUGACCUGUCAGCACAGAGCCCGACAUGGGGCUCGAACCCACAAACUGUGAGAUCAUGACCUUAGUCAAAGUCAGACACUUAACCGACUGAGCCACCCGUGCGCCCCUCACUGCUCAGUUUUUAAUCUGUAAAAUUGGGGUAAUAAAGGUACCUCCUUCCAACAAACAUUUUUGUAAAGAUUAAGUGGCUAAAUGUAUUUAAAGCCCAAGAACUAGGUCUUACACAUGUUAGCUGCUACUUUUGUUAUUUAUUACUUCUAAGCAAAUAUGCCACCCUGGGUCCUCUAUACUCUAAGAGAGGUAUUGGCUCUGUUCUCUGAAGGGUUUGUGCUGAUUCAUUGCCCUUUUUCAUCCCAAAACAUUUGUGAGGAAACUAGGUUUAAUUUGGGUUAUUGUCUGUGACUGGGAAGCAGAGUAUAAAGUUUCUGGUAACAUUUGAGGGUGGAUCAUGUCAGGCCUUAACAGGUUCCCAUGUGUUUCUCCUUAUAGUUGACCCCUGUCUGUAGGUUCUGGUCAUGAAGGAGUCACCUCACAAAUAAUCUGUCUUGACUCUACCUUUGUGCACAGCCCUCAUCUCUGUGGUGUAAUCUUCCUGCUCUUGGUUAUCUCACUCUAGGUCUUGCCAGAACCUCCUCUUAGCCUCCCCUCCUAGCCCUACCUCUUCCCCAAUACUAAUUAGGUGACUCAGGCUCUGAUACUGAUCACUGAAUUCCCAAAUUCCUCUUGCCUCCAUGCUUGACAUUCUGAGCAUUUGUUCUCCUAAGUCUUACUUCCGCUGAGCCUCUCCUAUCCUCUGGACACUUUUCUACCUCCUGCCUUUUUUGCCUACUGUUGUUGGGAUACAUUGGUCACCAAUGACAAUGGACUUUCAACCAGUAUCUAAAGCAGCAUAUCUUCUUCACCUCCAACCUCUUCCUGGUACUGUUGCUUCAUUUAAGAGAGGGCAGAAAUGCUAUGUGUUCACCAAAACUCACCACAAGUUUCUUCUACCCCCAAAAUAUACAGUUAGGCCAUAUUUCCCCGUCUCCCUUAUAGUUAGGUUUGGUCAUGGGGCUGAAUUUUGCUUGAAGGAAUGUGGGUAAAAAUGAUGUCCAAUCCUCAUGAGAUCCUCUAUGCCCUCUUUCUCCUCCGCUACCUCCUGGCAAGAUAGCAAGAUUCUAACAGAGGGAUCCAAGAUUAUACAAGAAGACAGAGCCAUAGGAUGCAAGGACCCCGGAUUUCUGAGUGACCACGUGGAAGGCUGCCUAUGGACCAGGAAUUGGACUUGGUGGGCUGUGUUGCCAGAGUUUGCCUGCAAAGUGGAAUCUUUGUGAAAGAAAAAUAAAGAUUUGAUGGACAAGAUUUAUUGUGUGCAAGGACUCAACUCUGUGAACCAAGAGAACAUGGGUAUCUUCACUUAAUACAAGGGCAAACACAAGAUUGAAAGAUUUGUGCAACAUUGCUAAAAUGAGUGACAAACGUAAGCAAAGUUUUACCUGAAGAGACCUGGAAAGAAAAAACAAUGAAACAAUGUCCUCCAUAUAUUGAGAACGUGUAAG